AAAAAGCACAAGUAAAUAUAUGUCUCUAGGAUUACCUCAGGAUACAGUAUGUUGUUAUAUAUUAUAUAUGUCAUGGAACUUUCCAAUCUACAAAUUGAGGGUAGUUUAUAUUCCUAUACAGACGAUACAACGUUGAUUGUGACAGGUGAAACAUGGGAAUCAGUGGUGAAAAUAGCAGAAAACUCUCUAAAAAAAAAAUAAUUAAUUGGUUUUC
Molecule: non-coding RNA, 214 nt
Organism: Cinara cedri
Lineage: Eukaryota; Metazoa; Arthropoda; Insecta; Hemiptera; Aphididae
Source: the annotation of a GenBank genome assembly